This 253-nucleotide ribosomal RNA is filed under the name uncultured bacterium. RNAcentral's name for it is "partial 16S ribosomal RNA". It matches the Rfam family "Bacterial small subunit ribosomal RNA", at positions 524 to 776 of the family's 1533-position model. The record is from RNAcentral.
UACAGAGGUCCCAAGCGUUGUUCGGAUUCACUGGGCGUAAAGGGUGCGUAGGCGGUCGGGUAAGUCUGACGUGAAAUCUCCAAGCUCAACUUGGAAAUGGCGUCGGAUACUAUUCGGCUUGAGGAUUGGAGGGGAGACUGGAAUUCUCGGUGUAGCAGUGAAAUGCGUAGAUAUCGAGAGGAACACCAGUGGCGAAGGCGAGUCUCUGGACAAUUCCUGACGCUGAGGCACGAAGGUCAGGGGAGCAAACGGG